UUUAGGACUGCUCUCAAAUAAUUGAAAUGUUACUAAACAAGGUUAUACUUAUCAAAUUAAAUAGCUCUGGUCUCCAGUAUAUUGGCGAAUUCAGUUCUUUGUACUUAAUUUAUUAGCAUGAUUUCUUUUUAAUAUGUUGUGUACAGACUUAAUUACUUCUCUGUCUACUUUUCUUACUCCAUGUAGGUUUCCCAGAGACUAUGGGUUGAGGAGGAAUUGGAAGUUUGUCGGCUUAGACCUGGUGUCAUUCCAUCAGUGUUAAACUUCCCGGCUCAUCUUGGAAGAGUACGUGCCAGAAAGACCACGACCAAGCAGCCUUGAGAUCUUAGGCAGCGUCUCCCUGAGGUCCCUCUCUAUCUCCCCACACAUCCACCAACCACUGGAACACAUCUCCAAAGUUCUGCUGGACCAGCUCAGCUUCCCCUCAGAAGAAGUUCCACCACCUGCCAGAUGAAGGAGCCUUUUGAGAGGCAGCUGGCAUCGUGAUUGGACUGUACUUUGGUCUGUUCCAGUCCAGCUUCAGCUCCAGAGACGGCAGGCGGGACGAGUCAACGGAGGCCGGAUGGACGAAGGCAUGCAGCUGAGUACAAUCCAGAAAACAACAGAGGAGGAGUGCAGCGGCUCAGGGCCAGAACAAACAGAGUAGCAUCUUAUGUCUCUUAGAAAACAUCAUAGUAUAGCCUUUGGUAUGAAAAAACGCCAUCAUAUACAUCGUAUAUUGUACAAAAAACAAGUCAAAGCAAAGAGACAUACAUUGUAGAAUUGUAGUAAUUGUGGGCUGACUGAUUUACUGAUUAUCAGUAUUUUAUUUUUUACUGAUUUACGGUAAUAAAUACAUUUAAAAAUGG
Amphiprion ocellaris (clown anemonefish) is the source of this 848-nucleotide long non-coding RNA. RefSeq lists it as uncharacterized. NCBI's taxonomy places the organism in Eukaryota, Metazoa, Chordata, Actinopteri, Pomacentridae. The transcript has 2 exons. The record is from RefSeq and is a predicted model, not a curated record.